Molecule: non-coding RNA, 30 nt
Filed under: Mus musculus (house mouse)
Lineage: Eukaryota; Metazoa; Chordata; Mammalia; Rodentia; Muridae
Source: RNAcentral
UACUAAGGUGCUUAAGAAGUUUGGUAUGUU